Molecule: ribosomal RNA, 484 nt
Filed under: uncultured bacterium
Lineage: Bacteria
Description: partial 16S ribosomal RNA
Rfam family: Bacterial small subunit ribosomal RNA
Source: RNAcentral
AUUGAACGCUGGCGGCAGGCUUAACACAUGCAAGUCGAGCGGAUGAGGGGAGCUUGCUCCUGGUUUCAGCGGCGGACGGGUGAGUAAUGCCUAGGAAUCUGCCUGGUAGUGGGGGAUAACGUCCGGAAACGGGCGCUAAUACCGCAUACGUCCUGAGGGAGAAAGUGGGGGAUCUUCGGACCUCACGCUAUGAGAUGAGCCUAGGUCGGAUUAGCUAGUUGGUGGGGUAAAGGCCUACCAAGGCGACGAUCCGUAGCUGGUCUGAGAGGAUGAUCAGUCACACGGGAACUGAGACACGGUCCAGACUCCUACGGGAGGCAGCAGUGGGGAAUAUUGGACAAUGGGCGAAAGCCUGGUCCAGCCAUGCCGCGUGUGUGAAGAAGGCCUUCGGAUUGUAAAGCACUUUAAGUUGGGAGGAAGGGCAGUAAGUUAAUACCUUGCUGUUUUGACGUUACCGGCAGAAUAAGCACCGGCUAACUACGUG